AGAGUUAAAUAGUACGUGAAAUUGUUGAAAGGGAAACGAUUGAAGUCAGUCAUGCCAGUGAAAACUCAGUUUGGCGGAUUUUCAAGUUCAAGAGUAAAGGCAGGGUCAAACCGUCUCUCUUUUGGACUUGGAAUUUGCCAGAUGGAAUUUUUCUCUGACAGGUCAGCGUCGGUUUCGGUGGGUUGUAAAAUACUUGGGGUAAAGUAGCUCUGCUUCGGGAGAGUGUUAUAGACCUUGGGGGAUGCAGCCCGCGGGAUCGAGGAUUGCAGCAAAUGCUUUCGGGCUUGUCGCCUGAUCUCUGGAUGUUACCUUGCUUGUGACAACAUUCUUGCCACCUGCGAGUACUAAUGCUCAUUAGGUUAGAGCGAUCAAAAAUUUUGCUAAGGAUGCUGACGUAAUGGCUUUAAACGACC
RNAcentral lists this ribosomal RNA (413 nucleotides) under Diversispora arenaria. RNAcentral's name for it is "partial large subunit ribosomal RNA". Lineage: Eukaryota; Fungi; Glomeromycota; Glomeromycetes; Diversisporales; Diversisporaceae. The record is from RNAcentral.